RNAcentral lists this long non-coding RNA (1494 nucleotides) under Salvator merianae (Argentine black and white tegu). Its description in RNAcentral is "lncRNA (ENSSMRG00000004968.1)". Lineage: Eukaryota; Metazoa; Chordata; Lepidosauria; Squamata; Teiidae. The record is from RNAcentral.
GCCACCUUCCAGAGCAAGCAAUUUUAUUUUGCUCUAUAUGAUUCUUUGGGGGGGGGGAAUCCAGUACCCUGUCCCCCGCUACAGGAGAUUAUCCGGCAUCAAAAAAUUGCAGAAUGAUCCCCUUUGAUCUUCCCCGGCGGUGUCCGUAUUUAAAAUCUUUAGAGUGAGUAAGGAAUUGCUCCUCCGCAGAGUUCUUCCGGUGUAUCCGGCUAAACUUCACCGUGACUUAUAAACGGCAUUCUUUGAUGAUCUCGCUGUUAGAGUCCCGGAGGAUCUGACUGACCUCCCACAACUGAACCGCAAAGCUGCUAAAGCUGCUGGCGCGCUCCAGGGCGAAGCCACAGCGUGUUAAUCUUGGCGUAGCAAUUCAUAGUCUCUCGUGGAUUUUGACGAAAGUAGAACCGAAAAGCGCUCUAAUCGAUCUCUUGGAAAAAUACCAAGGGAAUGGACCAAGCGACCCUCUGGACAGCACGUAACUUGUUGGCAGACGCCAGCCCAAGCCUGACUGCCCGCUCAGUGUCGUAGCGGGGACAAGGGCCUGAAAGAAAGCCAGGUUCCUAACUAGGAUCUCUGAGCAGGUGGAGUUGCCCUCAAUCCCAAGCCACUGGAAAGCGCAGUAACAACAACUGCGUUUCAGAAACAAACAACGCCCCGGCCAGCUAUUCCCUGCUGGGCGACGCAAGGGGGAUGUCUGUCACAACCUCAUCAAGCGUCGCUGCCAAGAACACCGCGGGAAGCCUGCAAGGCUGGCGCCAGGACAGCUGCAACGGCAGCAAACGCCGAGAUCGCCCGUCCCUGUGCCCACGGAGUUGGGGGACAACGUCGCCGCCGCAGUCCUCGCCUCGCCCUGCUUCGUCCGGCAGCCGCUGCUGCAAUUCCCCCGGCGGCUCCCUCCAGUCGCUCUCCAAGGUGCUGAAAUCGCAAGCUGCCGCGGCGCCAACAGCGGCUCCUCCUCCAGACCCACCCGGGGCUCGCGCCAGGACGGGAGAGGAUGGACCGACUAUACUUCGUAGGGAAAGGAGCGGAAAAAGGACAGCCCAAAGAGCCAAUGGGAAGAGGAUAGAGCUGAGAGAGACUCAGCCUGGGAAGAGACGAGAGAGAGCCAAAAGGUCCAAUGAUAUGGCAUCAACAGUCCCAUGAAUAUUGGUAGGACAAAAGGAGCAACAUUUCAACAAUUAGGUCUACGUGUAUGAGCCACUCAGCACACAUCAAAGCAGUAGUUCAAACAAGGCGAUGAAAGAAUCCAAGGUAUCUUAGAUCUACUUCAGAAAGAAACGAGACAGUUGGAGCAUGAAAGAGAAAAAGUAGAAGAGAAGAAUGCUGGAUAAAUAAGCAUUGUAAAGGUGGGGGGAAAUUCACCUACAUGGUACAUGCAUGUUCAUAUUGUCCUCCGUGUUCAGUAAGGCUGAAUUAGGAGCUUUAAAGCUAUGUACCUUUUUCCCUGAAGGAAAACAUGACAUUUUAAAGGAAGCAGUAUGUUUUAUUAUUUUUUAA